GAUGAACGCUAGCGGCAGGCUUAAUACAUGCAAGUCGAGGGGCAGCAUGGGUGUAGCAAUACAUCUGAUGGCGACCGGCAAACGGGUGCGGAACACGUACAGAACCUUCCUUCGAGCGGGGAAUAGCCCAGAGAAAUUUGGAUUAAUACCCCAUAGUAUAUUGAAGAGGCAUCUCUUUAAUAUUAAAGAUUUAUCACUUGAAGAUGGCUGUGCGGCUGAUAGAUAGUUGGCGGGGUAACGGCCCACCAAGUCUACGAUCAGUAACUGGUGUGAGAGCACGACCAGUCACACGGGCACUGAGACACGGGCCCGACUCCUACGGGAGGCAGCAGUAAGAUAUGGGCAAUGGAGGCAACUCUGACCCAGCCAUGCCGCGU
This 377-nucleotide ribosomal RNA is filed under the name uncultured bacterium. Its description in RNAcentral is "bacterial SSU rRNA". It matches the Rfam family "Bacterial small subunit ribosomal RNA", at positions 28 to 402 of the family's 1533-position model. The record is from RNAcentral.